This 274-nucleotide ribosomal RNA is filed under the name uncultured bacterium. Its description in RNAcentral is "partial 16S ribosomal RNA". It matches the Rfam family "Bacterial small subunit ribosomal RNA", at positions 523 to 796 of the family's 1533-position model. The record is from RNAcentral.
AUACGGAGGGGGUUAGCGUUGUUCGGAAUUACUGGGCGUAAAGCGCACGUAGGCGGAUUGGAAAGUAGGGGGUGAAAUCCCAGGGCUCAACCCUGGAACUGCCUCCAAAACGAACAGUCUAGAGUUCGAGAGAGGUGAGUGGAAUUCCAAGUGUAGAGGUGAAAUUCGUAGAUAUUUGGAGGAACACCAGUGGCGAAGGCGGCUCACUGGAUCGAUACUGACGCUGAGGUGCGAAAGCGUGGGGAGCAAACAGGAUUAGAAACCCUAGUAGUCC